GCCCCCAUAGCUCAAUUGGAAGAGCAGUUGCCUCUUAAGCAAUUGGUUCUAGGUUCGAGUCCUAGUGGGGGCA
This 73-nucleotide transfer RNA is filed under the name Candidatus Nealsoniibacteriota bacterium. RNAcentral describes it as "Candidatus Nealsonbacteria bacterium tRNA-Lys". It matches the Rfam family "tRNA". From Rfam's summary of the family: Transfer RNA (tRNA) molecules are approximately 80 nucleotides in length. Lineage: Bacteria; Candidatus Nealsoniibacteriota. The record is from RNAcentral.